This 497-nucleotide ribosomal RNA is filed under the name uncultured bacterium. RNAcentral's name for it is "partial 16S ribosomal RNA". It matches the Rfam family "Bacterial small subunit ribosomal RNA", at positions 28 to 507 of the family's 1533-position model. The record is from RNAcentral.
GAUGAACGCUGGCGGCGUGCCUAAUACAUGCAAGUCGAGCGAACGGACGAGAAGCUUGCUUCUCUGAUGUUAGCGGCGGACGGGUGAGUAACACGUGGAUAACCUACCUAUAAGACUGGGAUAACUUCGGGAAACCGGAGCUAAUACCGGAUAAUAUUUUGAACCGCAUGGUUCAAGAGUGAAAGACGGUCUUCCUGUCACUUAUAGAUGGAUCCGCGCUGCAUUAGCUAGUUGGUAAGGUAACGGCUUACCAAGGCAACGAUGCAUAGCCGACCUGAGAGGGUGAUCGGCCACACUGGAACUGAGACACGGUCCAGACUCCUACGGGAGGCAGCAGUAGGGAAUCUUCCGCAAUGGGCGAAAGCCUGACGGAGCAACGCCGCGUGAGUGAUGAAGGUCUUCGGAUCGUAAAACUCUGUUAUUAGGGAAGAACAUAUGUGUAAGUAACUGUGCACAUCUUGACGGUACCUAAUCAGAAAGCAACGGCUAACUACGUG